RNAcentral lists this microRNA precursor (115 nucleotides) under Euroglyphus maynei. Its description in RNAcentral is "mir-1 microRNA precursor family". It matches the Rfam family "mir-1 microRNA precursor family". From Rfam's summary of the family: This family represents the microRNA (miRNA) mir-1 family. miRNAs are transcribed as ~70nt precursors (modelled here) and subsequently processed by the Dicer enzyme to give a ~22nt product. In this case the mature sequence comes from the 3' arm of the precursor. The extents of the hairpin precursors are not generally known and are estimated based on hairpin prediction. Lineage: Eukaryota; Metazoa; Arthropoda; Arachnida; Sarcoptiformes; Pyroglyphidae. The record is from Rfam by way of RNAcentral.
ACCAAAAUUCCGUGCUUCUUAAUGUUCCCAUAUAUGAUGACAUAUAUAGAGUCAAUAUCAAUAUAUGUUACACAAACGAAAAACUAUGGAAUGUAAAGAAGUAUGGAGUUUUGGU